GCCUUUUUCUUUGGAAGUGAAUUUGUAUUUUUCUAGCUUAAGUUUAUUGAAACUGAGCUCUUUGCAUGUCAUUUCAUGUUUUUCUCUUGACAUGAAGUCUUAUCUACCCUGAUAAACAUGUCUUUUGAAAGAUAUACUACAAGGAACAAAAUGCUAUUUGUAAAUUCUGCUCUUAUCAAGGUGAAGAUCAAUUUUUACAAAUUAACUGUUUGGCUUAUAAAAGGAAAAAAUAGGAGCCAGGGUGACUCAUGCCUAUAAUCCCAGAGAAUUGGGAGACUGAAAAAAAAAAAAAAAGGACUGCAAGUCUAAGCCAAUCUCAACAAUUUAGAGAGUCCUUAAGCAACUUAGCAAGACCCUGUCUCAAAAUAAAAAACUGGCUGGGAAUGUGACUCAGUUGUUAAGUGCCCUUGGGUUCAAUUCCCAGUACCGAAAAAAAAGAACUUAAUGUAUAGAAUACAUUGAGAAGUUUUACUGAAUAUUUACCUGUAUUUCCUUAUUAAGUUGGCACAGUUAAAAAAGAAAAUCCAUUUCUUUUUCUAUUAUCAUCUUUGUGUUUCCUAUUACAGCACUGUGUUGGGCAUAUAGAAGGAUUUUAUUGAAAUUUUGAUGUAGAAAUAAACUUUAUUCUACUUAAAAGCUUUUAAAAACAACUAAUUAUGCAC
Molecule: long non-coding RNA, 662 nt
Filed under: Marmota monax (woodchuck)
Lineage: Eukaryota; Metazoa; Chordata; Mammalia; Rodentia; Sciuridae
Source: RNAcentral